ACUCCUACGGGAGGCAGCAGUGGGGAAUAUUGGACAAUGGGGGGAACCCUGAUCCAAGCCAUGCCCGCGUGUGUGAAGAAGGCCUUAUGGUUGUAAAGCACUUUAAGCGAGGAGGAGGCUACUGAGACUAAUACUCUUGGAUAGUGGACGUUACUCGCAGAAUAAGCACCGGCUAACUCC
This 180-nucleotide ribosomal RNA is filed under the name uncultured Gammaproteobacteria bacterium. Its description in RNAcentral is "partial 16S ribosomal RNA". It matches the Rfam family "Bacterial small subunit ribosomal RNA", at positions 335 to 504 of the family's 1533-position model. Lineage: Bacteria; Pseudomonadati; Pseudomonadota; Gammaproteobacteria. The record is from RNAcentral.